RNAcentral lists this small RNA (81 nucleotides) under Arabidopsis thaliana (thale cress). Its description in RNAcentral is "ATSL200200". The record is from RNAcentral. Lineage: Eukaryota; Viridiplantae; Streptophyta; Magnoliopsida; Brassicales; Brassicaceae.
AAUCAAACCAAUGGGUUGCCUCCCACUAAGCGCUUGUUUUUAGUCAAUAGCUUGACUUGGCAGAGUACAGGAUGGGGGUGG